This 769-nucleotide ribosomal RNA is filed under the name uncultured bacterium. Its description in RNAcentral is "bacterial SSU rRNA". It matches the Rfam family "Bacterial small subunit ribosomal RNA", at positions 62 to 837 of the family's 1533-position model. The record is from RNAcentral.
UCGACGAAGCAUUGGGAGCUUGCUCCUAAUUGACUUAGUGGCGGACUGGUGAGUAACGUAUGAGUAAUCUGCCCUAUGCAGGGGGACAACAGAUAGAAAUGUCUGCUAAUACCGCAUAAGACCACGAUACCGCAUGGUAUAGGGGUAAAAGAGAUAUGUAUCGGCAUAGGAUGAGCUUGUAUUCUAUUAGUUAGUUGGUGGGGUAACGGCCUACCAAGACGAUGAUAGAUAGCCGACCUGAGAGGGUGAUCGGCCACACUGGAACUGAGACACGGACCAGACUCCUACGGGAGGCAGCAGUGGGGAAUAUUGGGCAAUGGAGGCAACUCUGACCCAGCAACGCCGCGUGAAGGAAGAAGGCCUUAGGGUUGUAAACUUAUGUUGUAAAGGAAGAAAAGAAUGACGGUACUUUACAAGAAAGCCCCGGCUAACUAUGUGCCAGCAGCCGCGGUAAGACAUAGGGGGCAAGCGUUGUUCGGAAUUACUGGGCGUAAAGGGAGCGUAGGCGGGAGAUUAAGUUAAGAGUGAAAGCCUUGGGCUCAACCCAGGAAAUGCUCUUAAUACUGGUUUUCUAGAGUGUGGGAGAGGUAAGUGGAAUUCCUAGUGUAGCGGUAGAAUGCGUAGAGAUUAGGAGGAACAUCAGAGGCGAAGGCGGCUUACUGGACCAUAACUGACGCUGAGGCUCGAAAGCGUGGGGAGCAAACAGGAUUAGAUACCCUGGUAGUCCACGCCCUAAACGAUGGAUACUAGAUGUGGGAUGAAUAAAUUC